Molecule: non-coding RNA, 78 nt
Organism: Paramuricea clavata
Lineage: Eukaryota; Metazoa; Cnidaria; Anthozoa; Malacalcyonacea; Plexauridae
Source: the annotation of a GenBank genome assembly
GACCGCGUAGCUCAGUUGGAAGAGCAUUGGGCUACUAGGCUAUACCAAAGGUCGUAGGUUCGAUUCCCACCGAGGCCA